This 493-nucleotide ribosomal RNA is filed under the name fungal endophyte sp. DM123. Its description in RNAcentral is "eukaryotic LSU rRNA". It matches the Rfam family "Eukaryotic large subunit ribosomal RNA", at positions 141 to 656 of the family's 3401-position model. The record is from RNAcentral. Lineage: Eukaryota; Fungi.
AGUUGUAAUCUGUAGAGGAUGUUUCUGGCAAGGCGCCGUCCGAGUUCCCUGGAACGGGACGCCGGAGAGGGUGAGAGCCCCGUACAGGCGGACGCCGAGCCUCUGUGAAACUCCUUCGACGAGUCGAGUAGUUUGGGAAUGCUGCUCAAAGCGGGAGGUAAAUUUCUUCUAAAGCUAAAUAUAGGCCAGAGACCGAUAGCGCACAAGUAGAGUGAUCGAAAGAUGAAAAGCACUUUGAAAAGAGGGUUAAAAAGCACGUGAAAUUGUUGAAAGGGAAGCGCCUGUGACCAGACUCGCGCCCGGCGUAUCAUCCGGCGUUCUCGCCGGUGCACUACGCCGGGCUCGGGCCAGCAUCGGUUCUGGUGGGGGGAUAAAGGCGGCGGGGAUGUGGCUCCCCCGGGAGUGUUAUANCCCGCCGCUCAAUGCCCUCGCCGGGACCGAGGACCGCGCAUUGCAAGGAUGCUGGCGUAAUGGGCACCAGCGACCCGUCUUG